This 460-nucleotide ribosomal RNA is filed under the name uncultured bacterium. RNAcentral's name for it is "partial 16S ribosomal RNA". It matches the Rfam family "Bacterial small subunit ribosomal RNA", at positions 338 to 795 of the family's 1533-position model. The record is from RNAcentral.
CCUACGGGUGGCAGCAGUGAGGAAUAUUGGUCAAUGGACGAGAGUCUGAACCAGCCAAGUAGCGUGAAGGAUGACUGCCCUAUGGGUUGUAAACUUCUUUUAUAUGGGAAUAAAACGUUCCACGUGUGGGAUUUUGUAUGUACCAUAUGAAUAAGGAUCGGCUAACUCCGUGCCAGCAGCCGCGGUAAUACGGAGGAUCCGAGCGUUAUCCGGAUUUAUUGGGUUUAAAGGGAGCGUAGGUGGAUUGUUAAGUCAGUUGUGAAAGUUUGCGGCUCAACCGUAAAAUUGCAGUUGAGACUGGCAGUCUUGAGUACAGUAGAGGUGGGCGGAAGGCGUGGUGUAGCGGUGAAAUGCUUAGAUAUCACGAAGAACUCCGAUUGCGAAGGCAGUUCACUGGACUGCAACUGACACUGAGGCUCGAAAGUGUGGGUAUCAAACAGGAUUAGAUACCCGUGUAGUC